AGCGCUUGCUUAGCAUUCAACCAGCCAAAAUACUGUUGCACUCCACCUAACGACAAGCCGGAGACAUGCCCUCCCACUGAUUACUCUAAGCUCUUCAAGACCCAGUGCCCUCAAGCUUAUAGCUAUGCUUAUGAUGACAAGAGCAGCACCUUCACAUGCAGUGGUAGACCUGACUACCUCAUCACAUUCUGCCCAUAAGCAUAUAUAUAUAUAUAGAAUGGGAUCUUAUAUGAUAUGAUAUUAUACAUAUAGUUCCCAAUAAAUAAAUUUCCUGGAUCUUGACACAUUGUUGAUGUCAAGAAUUUGUAAUGCAGACGAUCAAAUAACGUAAAUGUUUGGAUUUUAUUUUCGUUCAUGGCUUUCAAAUUUUUGUUUCCUUCAUUUCUUUAUAUGAUGCAUUAUUUCCAGCAACAAAACAUGAGCAUAAUAUAAAGAGAGUUAGCUGCAAUUGAAAUGGUUAUCAAACGGGAGUUUAAAUACGGAUUGUAAUUUUCUGUCAUGCCUGGUGUUGAUGCGAAAAAGUGGUUUGAUACGUAAUUCGUCAACUUAGUCAAAAUGUCCCUUCGGUAGGUCCCCGUCCUUGGUAAGUGGUCCACUCCAGAGGGUCAAGUACCUGCAAAAGGACGCGUUCGGUAAAUCCUUGGGGUACCGGUGCGGUACCGGCCGAAGGCUCUCCGAUGCCUAAAUGAGUACGGAUUUAGUAAGGUUAACUGACAGAUCACACGAUAGCGUACCGUUAGUUCUUCUUCUUCCCUUUUGGGGAUAUGGGUCUCCUUAUAUAGACCUUGGGAGGUGUGCUUUGUGCUCAUUUUUCCGAUGUGGGACUCCAAGCAUGGAUUGUGAACAUGACACGUGUCUGUUGGUAAAAAGGGCCAAGAUAUAUAGCUUCGGUAGUGAGCAUGCCGUAGGGGCCCUGUGAUCAGAGUGGAUCCUGUCCACGUGUCCGGUGGAAAUAGGCCGUUUAAUUAGGUAUAAACAGUAGUCCCUCAAGUUCUCUUUCGAAGGUUCUUCGGAAGGGAAUUUGGUUUUCCUUGGUAGUUCGGAGGUUCUCCUGCCGUUCGGCAUGCUCAUUUGGGGGGAGGAAAGGCGCUUGAGUUGUUCCUUUCGGAAAGUAGUGUUCUGGGAAAAUCGGUCGGGGACUUGAAGGGUCGCCAAUGUUGAGAGGCGAGAGGGCAGAGAGACGCUUCGUCUUCCGUGCCUGGCGCGCAGAUAGAGGCGCCAUUUGCCGGGUGACGCGUGGCCAGCAAUAACACGCCUGUUGGUGCAUUAAUGAGCCGUUUCGUCUCCCGAGGCGUACCGUUACAGUUCUCCCUCUAUAAAUAGAGGUUGCUCUGUAUGAAAAAAUUCACUUUGCAAUUGUGAGUUUGCGCGAGAGCUCUUGAGUAGGCGAUUUUUGAAGUGUGCGAACGGCAAGCAAGGCGAUUUUCGAAGCGUGCGAACGGUAAGCUAGGCGAUUUUCGAAGCGUGCGAACGGCAAGCUAGGCGAUUUUCAUAGCACUCAAGGUAAGAUACCGUUCGGUACCCCUGAAUUUUGUUAUACUUCUGUAUAUGGCAUAGGCUCGCCGAUCGUUAAGUAGGAUCUUCCUUCGGUAGUCUAGUGGCCAUAGGUAGAGAAGUAGGUAUCUGUAGGAUAGCGCAGCACGCACCUUAGUUUUUCCCUUUUUCUUGUUUUGUAGAUGUCCGAUAGCGAGUCACCGUUCGGCGAUGAGCCCAACGCUUUCGACGGGGAGCUAUCUUCCGGCUGGGGUACGUCCAGCGAGGCCGUGAGCCUCGGCGCCGAGGGCGGGGAAGACUCCGAUGCCGAGCUAUUCGGUGAGGAGGCGGAUUCCAUUCCCACCCACGGCAUCGGUAAGGGGUUCAUGACGGGGCACCCGUUACCCCUGGUCGCGGUGUACAGGGACGGUACCCGUGUCGUGCCGUCUGAGCACCAGCCAGAGGCUUCCACCUCCGGCAAUGAUGAGUGUGUUGCCGGUCCCUCUCGGCCGAGAGUUACGAUCGUCCACCGAGAGCGGUAUAGGAUACCGGUGGGCAUACCGCAGAAGACCCUGUUCGGGGUUGAUUAUUUGGGGCCGAACAAACUUACCGAACGGGAGCUUCAAAAGAUUAGGGCCGAAUACCUCAUUCCUGACUCGGUGAAGAUGAGGGUCCCGAGCCCGGUCGAGUCCCUCAGCGACCCUGGGGAUGGUGAAGUCGUCUUCUUCACCGAUAUGCUGGUGCAGGGGGUCAGGUUGCCGUUGCAGCCUGCCGUUCAGAAGUUACUUGCCCAGAUUGGGUAUGCCCCGGGCCAAUAUAACCCCAACUUUUGGGUGGCCCUGAUGGGGGUGAUAACGGCCUUUGGGAUUGCCGGGGAGGGGGAGCCUUCCUACGAGCAAUUCUCCUACCUCUACAGCGUCACUAAGUCGAAGAGUGCCGACCAUGGUGGCUGGGUUCAGGCGAACUGCCUGAAGGCUUCCGAGCGAGGUCACUUCGUCAGCUCGGUGCCGACUUCCCAGAAGUCGUGGAGGAAUCGGCGGGUGCUACUCUCUGGCCAAUGGGAAUCGCCAUCAGGAGUACGCCCGCAGUCCCCAGUACCAACGACUUUCCAAACCGCCGGUAGGUCCCUAGUUACCGAUCGGCAGGUCCCUAGUUGCCUUUCUGUUUUCUUUUUAUAUUUGCUCACUCAUUCUUUAUUCGGACAGGCAAACUCAAGCAGCCGACUCCUACACAAGACGAGAUUCGGCAGAUCGACAGGGUGAGGCUGAAGGUCCCUGCCGCCGAGCGAGUGUACCCGCGCUUCCUUUUCACCAAUAAUCUCAUCAGAGCCGGGCUCGUCGACCCUGCCGAGAGUAAGUGUACUUGUUGCGCUUUUCUUCCUCUUCUCUUUUUUUGUGUGCUUGCCGACUGACUGAUUGUUUUUGGCCAGUGACGGACGCAAGGAGGGCUGCCGAGGCCAAGAAGAUGAACGAAUCUUCCAGGAGGCGCCUCAUGAUGGGCCUCGAGGGCAAGAAGAAAAAGAAGCAGCUCGAGGCCCCUGCCGUUCGGUCGUCGACGGACCCCGAGGAGGUGACCCUCGCUGAGCGUAUGCGGCAGUUGGGCGCUGAGCCUGUCGCAAGGCCGGCUGUCGAUCCCCAUGCGCCGAGGCAUGCCGUCGCCGAUGCCGUCGCCUCAAGGGCUGCCGGGAAGCGGCCGAUAACGGUGGAUUUGGAAACUUCUCCGGCGUCCAAGCGAAGCCGUCCGUCAGACGCUUCCAGGGCCGUCUUUGCGGCGGAGGACGAGGAUGGGCCUACCGAGGCCGUCACUCUCGCCUGCCCCUCGAAGACGGUGCAAUUCGUCAACCAUAUGAUCCUCGGUUCUCAGAUGGAGCUGCCGGAGGUUGACGAGUUGCCGAAGAAGGUUCUUCGGGAGCAGGCUGGACGCGCCUUCCGACUGCAAGCAGCAGUAAGAAUUUAUCUCCCGGUGUUGUCCUUUCAUUAUUUUUUUUUCGGUGCCAAGUGGGGCUUCAAACUAUCUUCCUCGUGUGCAGGCGUCCAUGGAGAUGUGGCUGUGUGUCAAGCGGGCCAUCUCCGCUGCCGAACGGGCAAAAAAGGACUAUGACGACGGCAGGGCUAAGGUUGCCGAGGCUGGAAAGGCUAUCCAGGACCACGCCCAGCUGCUAAAGGAGAAAGAGGCUGCCGAACGGCGGGCUCUCACUUCGGAGGCGACGGUGGGCGAGAUGCGGGCCGAUCUGGAGGCAGCGCGGGCGGCUCUGGAGGCAGCGCGGAUGGCAGCGCGUGAUGCCGAGGCCGUCUCGGAGGCGGUUCAGGACGCUCUGCAGGAGUCCGAGCGGACCAAGGCUGCGGAGGUUGAGGCUGCCAUUCAAACGGCAAUCCAGGGAUACCGUUCUUCCGAGGAGUUCACUGUCCUCCUGGACAGGGAAGUUGGCUCCGAGAUGGCGGGUAUGUUGUACCGAUUCAAGCGGUACAACCCUGGUCAGAAGCUGAACCUCAACUUCGCUGCCGAUCCCCCUCCCCUUCCCGAGGGAAUAACUGAGGAGAUGAUCGAAGACUACGAGGGGGAGGAUGCUGCUGCUGACGAAGCCUGAGGGCCUCUGUAAUAGUUUUAGCCUGUCUUAUUUUUAUUGUUAUUUUGUAUCUGUACCGAACGCCUUGAUGCCGAGGGCAUCUUUAAAUUAGAUGUGCAUAUUUUGUCUAUUUUUGUCUUUUCGAUUUGAUUUUGUUUUAUCGCCGAUAGGAUUUAUAACGUUAUAGAAGUAGCUUUCGAAAUUGUCAAGUUUCGAUGGAAUCUGUAGGGUGACAAUUUCGAAAAUACCUCCUGCCGUAGGUUAGUAAAGAUGCCCCAGAACGUUAUCUUGCUUAUAUUGGCAGCCGUAGGCUAGUAGAGACUGUAACAAGAGUUUCUGAAGCAAUAGUGCCGAAGGCUUUCUAUUUAUCUUUGCCGAAAGGCAUUUACAAUUUUGUCCUACCGUAGGCUAGGUUGCAACUCUGUCCUGCCGUAGGCUAGGUUACUUGAAAUAGUACUUGAGAUGUUCCACGUUCCAAGGAUGACCGAGGGUCUUGCCGUUGGAGUCUCUUAGGCGGUAGGUUCCCGAUCGAAGGAUACCGAUGAUCUCGUAAGGUCCUUCCCAGGAAGGUCCGAGGGUUCCUUCCGUGGCAUCCUUAGUUGCUAGGGACACCUUCCUCAUGACCUAAUCACCGGCUCGGAAUGAACGGUGUCUGAUUCUGGAGUCGUAAUACCGAGAGACGCGUUGCUUGUAGGCUUCGUUUCGAAGGUUGGCAUGUGCUCGGUGCUCUUCCAGGAGGUCGAGGCUUAGAGAAAGUGCUGCUUCAUUUGGCUCUGGUGCGAAGGUUUCCGUUCGGUAGGAAGGUUCGCCAAUUUCUACCGGCACAACGGCUUCCGAACCGAAAGCCAAAGAGAAAGGGGUUUCUCCUGUGGACGUUCGGUAAGAGGUCCGAAUGGCCCAGAGCGCUUCGGGAAGCUUUUCUGGCCAGGCUCCUUUGGCUUUGUCCAGCUGCCGUUUUAGCAGUUUCUUGAUGAUUUUGUUUAUCGCUUCUACCUGACCGUUCGACUGGGGAUGGGCCGGUGAUGCGAAAAACAAGUUGAUCUUCAGGCGGGUGCAAAAGUGCCUGAAGAGUUCCGAAUCGAACUGCCUGCCGUUGUCGGUGAUGAUUGCGUACGGGAUACCGAAACGGCAACAAAUGUGAGUCCAGACGAAGUCCUCUACUCUUGCUGCCGUUAUGGUUGCAAGAGGUUCGGCCUCCACCCAUUUGGUGAAGUAGUCGACGGCAACCACAGCGUAUUUCACCUGGCCUUUACCUUGUGGCAUCGGACCGAUCAGGUCUAGCCCCCACUGUGCGAAAGGCCAAGGACUCACGAUCGGUGUCAAGGGUUCGGCGGGGAUAUGCUGUAUGUUGCCGAAACGCUGACAUUUAUCGCAUUUCUUCACAAGUGAAUUGGCGUCCUGGUGCAUGGUCGGCCAGAAGUAUCCCUGCCGAAAGGCUUUGUGUGCGAGUGACCGGGACCCAGAGUGAUCGCCGCAAACACCAUUGUGGAUUUCCCGGAGAACGUAGCUCCCCUGCUCUGCCGUAAGGCACUUGAGAUACGGAGUCGUGUAGCCACGUUUGUAAAGGACGUCGUUGAUGACGGUGUACCUUGCCGAUCGGUAUCUAAGCUUUCGGGCCUGGGCCUUGUCCUCUGGAAGGGUGCCGUUGGUUAGGUAUGAGUAGAUAGGGGACAUCCACGUAUCCUCGUACCGUACGGUACAUAUUUCGGAGGUUGCCGUGCUUGGUUGGGCAAGAAUUUCCACCGGCACCUUUCUUCCGAUUUUGUCAUUGAUUGCCGAGGCUAGUCGCGCUAAAGCAUCGGCAUGACUGUUUUCGCUCCUGGGGAUCUGUUUGAUCUCAUAGGCUCGGAAGCUCUGGAGCAGCUGGUGGGUGGACGAAAGGUAGGCGUUCAUGGAGGCGUCUCUGGCGGCGAAGUCCGCCGUUACCUGGUUCACAAUGAGUUGGGAGUCACUGUGUAUCUUGAUCUGUUUUGCGUUCAUGCUCUUGGCUAAACGAAGGCCGGCCAAGAGAGCCUCAUAUUCUGCUUCAUUGUUGGAGGUUCGGAAGUUGAAUCGGAGGGCGUACUCGAUCUUGAGUCCCUCCGGUGUUGUCAGAACCAACCCUGCUCCACACCCCUGUUGGUUUGCCGAGCCGUCGACAUGCAGAGUCCAUACAGGAUUUGAGGCGUCGAGCCGUUCGGCGUCUACCUCCAUCGGUGCCGCGGUUUCGGUAACUGGCUCGGGUAUUUCCUGUGUCGUUGGUGGGGUGAGCUCGGAGAUGAAAUCGGCAAUGGCCUGACCUUUUCGGCUGGCCUUGGCACGAAUUGUAUAUCGAAUUCUCCGAGUUCAAUCGCCCACUUGAUCAAUCGGCCGGAAGUCUCUGGUUUUUGGAGUACUUGCCGAAGCGGUUGGUUUGUCAGGACAUUGAUCCCGUGUGCUUGGAAGUAUGGCCGAAGUUUUCGUGCCGAGAUCACCAGGGCUAGUGCAAGCUGCUCUAAUGGGGGAUAUCGAAGUUCAGCGCUCUGGAGUGCCUUACUGACAUAGAAGAUCGGUAGCUCUGCCCUCUCCGGUUUUCGGAUUAACACCGAACUGACGGCAGUGUUAGAUACCGAGAGGUAUAGGUAAAGAAUCUCCCCAGGCAGUGGUUUUGACAGGAGAGGUGCUCUGCCCAUAUAGUCUUUUAAGUCUUGAAAUGCUUUAUCACAUUCGGCAGUCCAUAAGAUAUUCUGUUUGCCCCCUUUCAAGGCUUUAAAGAACGGUACACAUUUGUCGGUAGCCUUGGAUAUAAAGCGAGUCAGGGCAGCCACUCGUCCGGUAAGGCUUUGGAUGUCCUUUGUUGUUUUUGGCCUCUCCAUGUCGAUGAUGGCCUUUAUUUUUUCGGGGUUCGCUUCGAUACCCCUGUGACUAAUCAUGAAUCUGAGGAAUUUCCCGGAAGACACACCGAAGGCGCAUUUCAUCGGGUUUAACCUCAUUCGGUAGCCCUUCAGGAUACCGAACAUGAUAGACAGAUUGUGCAGGUGUUCUUCGGCUGUUCUGCUUUUCACCAACAUGUCGUCAACGUAAACCUCCAUGAUGCUGCCGAUGUGUUCGGCGAAGAUUCUGUUGACAAGCCUCUGAUAUGUUGCCCCCGCGUUCUUCAAGCCGAACGGCAUGACGUUGUAGCAGUACAACCCUCUGUCAGUGAUGAAGGCGGUGUGCUCGCUGUCGGGGGGGUGCAUAAAAAUCUGGUUGUACCCUGAAUAGGCGUCCAUGAAGCUGAGCAGCUCGUGUCCUGCCGUGGCGUCCACGAGCUGGUCUAUUCGGGGUAACAGAAAGCUGUCCUUCGGGCAGGCCUUGUUCAGAUCGGUGUAGUCUUGGCACAUUCUCCAGCCGCCUGUACCCUUUCGAACCAUGACUGAGUUCGCCAGCCAUACCGGGUACGUAACUUCCCUGAUGAAGCCGAUGGUUUGAAGUUUGUCAACUUCCGUCCGCAUGGCUUCGUACCGUUCGGCAUCAUACAAACGGCGCUUCUGCCUUACAGGUUUGUAGGUUGGGGAAAUGCUGAGUUUAUGGCUGAUGAUUUCAGGGUCUAUGCCGGGCAUGUCUUCGUAGGACCAUGCGAACACUUCCGAAUGGUGCCGUAAGAAGUCUAUAAACUGCGCUCGGAGGGCGGGGGUCAGUCUGGUACCGAUUUUAACCCGACGAUCGGGCUGUUCAUCGCUCAGGGUUAUCGUCUCCAGUUCUUCGACGGGUUGCGUAUAAGGAGUUGGUGACUCAUCUCUUGGGUCGUCAACUGGUCCGUUGCCGUUCGGCAUCCCCUGCACAGACAUGGUCUUGUCUGGGAUUUUGAGAGAGGUUGAUUUGAUCGCCGUGGCGUAGCAAGUCCGUGCGCUCAGCUAAUUUCCCCUGACAGAUCCUACGCCAUUUGGGGUCGGGAAUUUCAUCAACAGCAUGUGUGGGGAAAGAUGCGCCUUUACCCUGGUCAGUGCCGUUCGCCCAACAAUGACGUUGUACGCCGUCGGGCAGUCAACGAUGAGGAACUUGUCAUAUACCGUCGUUCUCUUUGGCGCGGUGCCGAAGGUAAUUGGGAGCGUUACGCUACCGACCGGUUGGACCAUGUCCCCGGAGAAACUUAGCAAAGGCGUCAACUGCCGGUUGACCUGGCUGUCCUGUAUUCCCAUUUCUCGGAAAGCUUCGGCGAAGAUUACGUUUACCGAGCUCCCUGUAUCAAUCAGUACUCUCCCUACAUCGUAAUCGGCAAUUUCUGCUCGGACGAUCAUUGGGUCGUCGUGGGGACAGAGAAUGCCCUGUUCCUCUUCUUUGCAAAACGUGAUCGGCUCCCAAUGAUCCUUCGGUGUUUCAUGGUGGCGAUUCACCUCUAUGCCGAACACCUGGGGAAACUGUGCGGCACGCACGUACUGCUUCAUCGAGCGAUUGCUCAGUCCUGCGAUGGUUGGGCCGCCGCUGAUAGUGCUUAUCAUGUUUAUCUGCCGAUUUGCGUUCGGCUCCGGCGCCGUUGGCUGCCGGGCGAUAUACUGGUCUAGCUUCCCCUCUCGGAUCAAGCGUUCGACGAUCUUCCUCAGGCUUAUGCAGUCUUCUGUAUUAUGGCUGUUGUGCUGAUGGUAUCGGCAGAAUUUACCGGUAUCCCGGUUGUCUUGCCGAUUGGGCCUUCGUUGAUUCGGCUUGGGUAUUUUUUCCUGUUCGUUCAUCAGGACGGCCUCGUAGGUAGUAUUCAACAGGGUGAAGACCUCAUUGCCAUGAUCCCGAUUCGGCAGGGGGGCUCGGUUGUCGUUGCGACUGUACCUCCCUUUUUCUUUCUUUGGGUGCUCCCUUCGAUCUGCACGAUCAUCCUUCCUCUUAUGACCUGCCGAGUAGGUGUCGACUCGCUCAUAAGGCGUUGCCCUUGCCGGAUAGGCACUUGGUUCCGCAUUUCCUUGCGGUGCCGAAACCGUGGGUUUCGAGUUGAAGUAUUCGGCCUUGGCGUGGAUUGCUGCCUGCUUCAUCAGUUCAUCGUACGUGCGCCAGUUGCUACUGUGCACCAGGUAUCGAAAAUGAGAGGACCGAAGGCCACUCUUGAAGGCGCCGUAGGCUGCCCUAUCAUCCGUUUCCGGACACCUUGAGUACUCGUGACUGAAACGCGCCGCGUAUUCUCUCAACGGUUCGUCCUCCCUUUGCCGAAUCGUGUACAGAUCAUCGGCGGAGUAGAGACGGUCCGUUUGGAUUAUGAAGUGAUUGAGGAAGAUCUGCUUCAGCUCAUCAAAGGAUGCUACCGUUUCCGGCUCUAAACGGUAGAACCAGUUCAAGGCUGCCCCGGUAAGGGAAGACGGGAAUAGCAGGCACUGCCCCUCAUCGCUCAAGCCCUUGCAUCCAAUAGCGGACUGGAAUGAAUGGAGGUGUGUCAAAGGGUCCUCCGUUCCUGUGUAGAACGUUAUACGCAGUUGCUGCACUUCCCUGUCUUGCCGAGAAUCCCGGAUGCGCCUUGUGAACGGUCCGGGCCGAAGCUUUCCCCAUUCCGGUUCUUGGGAGCGCGCAUUGUCGUUUUCCAUUUUCUGGACCUUCUGAAAAAGGAGUCGGAUCAUGGGGUCUCGGCUAGGGACUUCUUCGGAACCGUAAUCUUCCGAUUGUCUUUGUAGGUUUAGUGAAUUAUCCCCCGCAUACCGCGAUGGUGUUUCCGAACGGUAGUCGGGGGGAAGUGUCUUGGAAGGGAUGUACUCGGACUCCGAAGACUCGGCGGGGCCCAAUCCCCUGACCUUCCGAAUAGGCGACUUAUCCCCUAGGUUAUUCAUCCGUGAUUCCCUUAUUCGAGCGCCAAUCCUGAUCGGUGACCCCUCUCUCUCUGGCUCCCGAUCGUUAGUGCGAUGCUCCCGGUCGUUAAUCCGAUGUCGGCAAUCGGUGUAGACCUUCCUUGGGAUGUGCGGCUGAUCCCGGGGUGCCGGAACCACUAACUCUCUGGAAGGUGCGGGCGUUGCCUUCGCUACCUUCGCGCGUUUGUUCUUCCCGCGGGGGUUCUGCAAGCUCUCGGAAGAGCGAGUUGUCUGUAUGUUCUGCGGUUGCUGCUGGUGAAGCAACUGCUGGGUUUCGUCCACUUUGGACGAAAGGAAGUUGUUGUGUUCCUGAAGCCUCGCCAUGUCCUUCCGUAAGGAUGCGAUUUGGGCUGCCAUCUCGACUUCGGCAGCCGUUUGGGUAGCGGGGGCAUUUCCGAAGGGAGUGUUGGAGGUAGCGCUGGGCUAGCUCCGCUCUGCCUUCCGAACGGUACCCCCUCUUCCGCUAGGAACGUUUGUUUUGAAGUGGUCCCCAUGUGCUUAGGGGAUUGUGGGUUGAUGAUUUUUUGGUUUCCCACAGACGGCGCCAAACUGUUGAUGCGAAAAAGUGGUUUGAUACGUAAUUCGUCAACUUAGUCAAAAUGUCCCUUCGGUAGGUCCCCGUCCUUGGUAAGUGGUCCACUCCAGAGGGUCAAGUACCUGCAAAAGGACGCGUUCGGUAAAUCCUUGGGGUACCGGUGCGGUAUCGGCCGAAGGCUCUCCGAUGCCUAAAUGAGUACGGAUUUAGUAAGGUUAACUGACAGAUCACACGAUAGCGUACCGUUAGUUCUUCUUCUUCCCUUUUGGGGAUAUGGGUCUCCUUAUAUAGACCUUGGGAGGUGUGCUUUGUGCUCAUUUUUCCGAUGUGGGACUCCAGGCAUGGAUUGUGAACAUGACACGUGUCUGUUGGUAAAAAGGGCCAAGAUAUAUAGCUUCGGUAGUGAGCAUGCCGUAGGGGCCCUGUGAUCAGAGUGGAUCCUGUCCACGUGUCCGGUGGAAAUAGGCCGUUUAAUUAGGUAUAAACACCUGGUAAGGAAUAAGCAUGGCUAUUUACGAAACUAUAAUAUGAACAACACUGAGAAACACAAGUAUGGCCAUUUCAAACAGACUACAAAUAACUUCGUAUUCCAACAAUGAAUCAACAGCACCCAUGGCCAUAUACGUUUGCAGCAUCUGAAGGUAGAUCAUCUAAUUAAUGUUAGAAGGAUAAUAGUUUCUAAAGUUCUUUAUUAAAAAAAUCAAUAGACAACCACCAGAGACAAAUUUUGUUUUGGAGAAGAUGAUUAUUCUCAAUUCUUGACAGCUGCAUAAUGCUAAAAUAUGAAUAUGGUUUGAAUACUUUACUUUAGGUUAGUUGUAUUCUUCUUCAUAAAGAGGUAUAUAUGAGUUUACAAGGUGCUUUAUAAGGAAAUAGAUACAGUUAAUUACCAUGGUAUACAAAGUGACUUAGAGACAAAAACUCAGAGACCGACUUGACUUUCACCAUGCGGCUUCUGGAAGUGCAAAUGAACCAUGCACAAGACUUUUAGAGUGAGCUCUUUGGACGUGGACUUGUUAAAACAUGAAAGGUUUUGUGUUGAUUUUUCUCAAUCAUACAAUCCGUUAAUAUACAAAUUUAUGUACACGAACACUACUAAGGAAUGCAAAGACUUUAAGAUCAUACAAACUACAAGUACUUGUUGAGAGUAUUUAGUCCAUGUUUUUUUUUUAAAAAAAUGCAGACAUUCAUUUUGUAUUUUAUUUUCCGUUCAUGUUUUUUUAUGGUUUAUCAAACUCAUAUAAAUAUGAUACAUAAAGCAAAAAAUAGAGAGAGAAUAGUAAAACAUUCAAAAAAUUAAAAAUUGUUCUUACUUCAUUUUUUUUUGUUGGAAUGCAUUUAUUACACAUUGAAACUUUUCAUUAAAUAAGCAUAAUAUAGUAAAUAUAUAUAUAUAUAUAUAUAUUAGAUGGGGACCUAUUUUCUUGGGACACAACUUGACAGGACCCGAUCCAAAUUCCACUUUGGAAUCCGAGCCAUACCCUGUGUGUGUCCGACACUUGGCGAAUGUCGUUUUCCGGCGAGCUCCGGCCACGGAAACUCCGACGAAGGGUCAGAAAAUGACGGCGGUCGAGUGGUGGUUCGUUUGGUACCAACGGCGGAGAUCGGCUCCAAGCGUGGUGGCCGUGGCGACGAUGAGAAGGGAGGAAGGUCGGCUGGCGCGGGCUGAUCGGGAGGAGAGAGAGAAAAGAGAGAAAUUGAUGGGGGAAGAAAGAGAGAGAGAGAGAAACAGGUUUUAUAAAUCUAAUUUUCCAAUUUACCAUUUUCCCCCUCAUGAUAUUUUAAUCGUAUUGUCUUCAUGAAAAUUCCGAUUUGAGCUUACUUCGUGUCUAUGAACUCGUGUCGUCGUGCUCUACGGAACGGUGUAUGGGGAAUUGUCAAAUUCCUUUUCGGUCAAAAAGUCAACUUUGAGUUCAUAAGGUAGUCAAAGGGCAAAAUUGUCUUUCCGUAUAAUAAAUUACUCAUUAAAUAUGAAUUUUAGGUUUGGGUCAUUACACAACUUCUUUAUCUUUUUUUUUAGUUGGAUUCUUAAUUCUUAAAUUAAAAAAACGAAAAUAAAAAACCAAUUGGCACCAAGGUAGUAUAUAUGAAACAUCGUCAGAAAUUAAAUUUUUUUUUUUUUGAAAUGUUCAUAAAAACAAACAAACAAAAAUAUAUACAUACAUUAACAAAAAAAAUAAUUUUCAAAAUAAAUGCACAGUGCCCAAGGAAACUCCUUAUAUAAUGUAUGUCUCUUGAAAAUUGUCAACAAAUCCGCUGUAGCAAUACUUACAAAUGGAUAAUUGUAAUCCGGGUUCGAAUCCCGACAGUGGAAUUCUUUUUAAGUUAGAUGUAUGACAGGAUUCGCCCCAAAUUCCUCGGAACCCGAAAUGAAUCCUGUGAAAUUCCGACAUCACCCCGAUGCCGGGCCCACUUAUUAAAGACCAAGACUUUCUACCAAAAUUUUGGCAGAGUCUCCCCUGUAAUUUGAACAAUCCCAAAAAUUUCAACAUGCAUAAAAUACAUGUCAUAUCCCAACAAGCAGCACGCACAAUAUAAUUUCAUGCAAUUCACAAACUCGACCUUAGGCCCUCACAUGAACCGAAGCGAAACCAAACUACCAACAAAGCCCUUACGCCAAAAAUAUUGCCUUAAUAUGGUAUAACAACACCCUUAAUUCAUCUCUCUAUACGCCUGAAAUUCCAACGCUACGUAUGAGGUCUGUCUCAACGCCGAAAAAUCCUACGCCACGCGAGACCUAACAAAUCACAUAAUCUCCUCAUACGCCGAAAAUUCUAACGCCACAUAUGGGGUCUGUCAUCAUUGAUUUAGGAUAUUAUCUUGAGAGAUAUUAUCAUCAAUUAGUGAUUUAAUCCCAAUCAAAUUGUUAAUUGACUUAAUCUCUCCAUUUAAGGGAAAAAAUAUCUUCCUUCAAAAUAAGAAGAUAUUCGUUGAAAAUCUCUUCAUUUAGGUAAUUCUGAAACGUAGCAAGAAUUCCCCAAAACCUCUCUCUCUCUCUCUCUCUCUCUCUCUCUCUCUCUCUCUCUCUCUCUCUCUCUCUCUCUCUCUCUCUCUCCGCCCUAGCCGACGGCCUCUCUCACUCUUAUCUCUCACACACGGCCAAGUGCCACCACACACGGCUUUGGCCACUCGACUCUCCCCGUGAGAAAAAGCUCCGUACCAUUUUUAGCUAUUGCAACAUAUUUUCUCCUAUUGCCACAUAUUUUCUCAAAGAUCCAAUCGAACUAACUUAGGCAUCGGAGAGAUUUUGACGAACACCUACCAGGUGUGGUUUUUUACUCUUGUUUGUUUCGCAGUAACCGAGCAAGAGAGAGAAGGAAGCUCAAAAAGUGAAAGAUCCACAUGCGAAUAUUCUUCCUUGAGAAAUUUGCAUAAACAGAAGACGUGUGACAUAUUCUUGGUUCAAAAAUAUCCAUCCGAAACAAGGAAAAAAUUGUAAAACCAAACUUAAGAAAUUAUACCUCUAUUCUGGUCAGCAUGAAUGGAUAUGUCCAAACAAAUUUUAAUCCAACAAGAAAAAUCAGAGGAGAAGGUUUAGGGUUUCACAAACAGAUCUACCAAGUAAAACGAAUUAACAUAUGAUAUGGGCAAAAUAAAGAAAUGAGACCAAGAUAAAACUUCUAGAAAGGUGACAAAUUGUCCUUUGAAGUAAUUUUACGUAAGCAUAACAAUUCGAAAUAAAAGAUAAACAAACAAAAAUCCUAUGAAUGGAUGGGACGAGGAAAAUUGAAGCUGACAAUAAAGGUUACUAACUUACUUGGGAUGUAUCCAAAGAAAAAAAAAAACAUGAAGGGAAAUACUAGUUUUCCUUCCUUGUUUUACUUUUCUCCCUCAUUAAUUGUACUUGGCUUUAGCUCCAUGCAUCUUCUCCUCCUUCACGGCAGCUUGGCCCAUCAAUCACGCUAUGAAAACGGCAUUUUUCCAUUUCUUCCAGUCUGGCUACUUUGACAUUUCUUGGGUUUCAUUAUCUAAAUUAAUAUCUAGUACUUGUUUUUUUAUGUACUCGUGCCAAUAUUCAAAGUACCUGCUAUCAUAAAUAAACCUAUGUAAACAGGGACUAAACGUUUAUGGCCCGUUUCCUAGUGUUGAUGACCUAUCAUCUAAUGUUUGAGUUUAAUCCAAAUCUCUCUAGAAGUUUUUUUUUUUUCCUUUCUCUAUGAGGGUUCAAACGUGACACAUCUCGUAACUCGUCUAUAAGUUAAAGUCAAUUUCUAUUGCGCUAGAGACCCUAUUGGCCUCUAAAAGAUCUUUUAGUUACUUCUUUAUCCAAUUGAUCACUUUUUCUACUUUAAUUUUUCUGGAUUGAAUUUGAAUUUUCUGUAAUAUAUAUUUUUUUGGGAUAAUGUAAACAGGGGACUUCACUUCAUUGCAGGUCAAUGACGAUAUCUAGGAACAAUCCAUCAGUCUAGGACCAAACAUUAUGAGUCAUUUGUUAGUUUCCUCAGGGUCCUGUUUACGUGUUGCCAUGGCAGCUUAGACCCGUAAUCAAAAUCGCAAGAAAAGAUCAAAAGUUAGGCACGCUACAAGCCCUAUAUAAAGCACCCCCUGGCACCCAAGUUUAUCAUCAUCCUCCUCACCAAAUUACAAAUUAAUUAAGUUUAUCAGCAACAGCAAGCCAAUUAAGACAUUUCCAAGACGAUGAUGAAGAGCCAAGCAGCUCUCCUCGGCCUCACCACCUUGGCCAUCCUCUUCUUCUCAGGUAUAAUAUUAUACAAACUUUGUUAGUCGAUCAGAUAUCGAUCAAAAGUUUAUUUUUACAAUUGUCUCUGUAAUCUGUUUUCUUAUGAUCACGUUGAAUAUGCAGGUGCACAUGCAGCUAAAAUCACUUUCACAAACAAAUGUUCCUACACUGUCUGGCCAGGAACCCUAACCGGUGACCAAAAACCUCAAUUAUCACUCACCGGGUUCGAGUUAGCAACCGGAAUUAGCAACUCUGUGGACGCUCCGUCCCCGUGGUCCGGUCGCUUCUUUGGCCGAACCAGGUGCUCCACGGACGCGUCAGGAAAGUUCACUUGUGCCACAGCAGAUUGUGGCUCUGGCCAAGUCUCAUGCAACGGUAACGGCGCAGUUCCGCCAGCUACAUUAGUAGAAAUCACUAUUGCUGAGAACGGGGGUCAAGAUUUCUACGAUGUUAGUCUUGUUGACGGCUUCAACUUGCCCAUGUCCGUGGCUCCACAAGGCGGCACCGGAGAGUGUAAGGCCUCAACUUGCCCUGCCGAUAUUAACAAAGUGUGCCCGGCUGAGUUACAAGUGAAGGGAUCUGAUGGAAGCGUAAUUGCGUGCAAGAGCGCUUGCUUAGCAUUAAACCAGCCACAAUACUGUUGCACUCCCCCUAACGACAAGCCGGAGACAUGCCCUCCCACUGACUACUCUAAGCUCUUCAAGACCCAGUGCCCUCAAGCUUAUAGCUAUGCUUAUGAUGACAAGAGCAGCACCUUCACAUGCAGUGGUAGACCUGACUACCUCAUCACAUUCUGCCCAUAAGC
This 15822-nucleotide long non-coding RNA is filed under the name Prunus persica (peach). RNAcentral describes it as "long non-coding RNA (PPER_LNC003619)". The record is from RNAcentral. Lineage: Eukaryota; Viridiplantae; Streptophyta; Magnoliopsida; Rosales; Rosaceae.